Molecule: long non-coding RNA, 1215 nt
Organism: Oncorhynchus tshawytscha (Chinook salmon)
Lineage: Eukaryota; Metazoa; Chordata; Actinopteri; Salmoniformes; Salmonidae
Source: Ensembl
GGAGGUACAGUAGCAGGGGAAUCGGCAGAGGUACAGUAGCAGUAUGUGUUAUCCAGGGAAUGAUGUAUCUAUGAGAUGGAGGUCAGUAUGUGUUAUCCAGGGAAUGAUGUAUCUAUGAGAUGGGGGCCAGUCUCCCAGUCUCCCGGUCUCCCGGUCUCCCGGUCUCCCAGUCUCCCAGUCUCCCGGUCUCCCGGUCUUCCAGUCUCCCUCCUCUCAUCCACCCCAGGGUGAUAUCCCUCCUGCUGAUAUCCUUGUCUACUGCUAAGAGAGAAUACUCUCUCAUCUUCCGCGCCCCCCUUUAAUCUUCUCAUCAACACGGAGAUUACACAGUGCCGCGCUUGUAAGAACUAGGAACACAGCGCACAACGAGGGGCGCGGAGGGAACAGAAAGGGGUAGAUAAGAAAGAAGAGGACACAGAGAGGGAGAGAGGAGAAAGAGAGAUGGAAAGAAGAGAGAGAAAGAAGAGAGAGAGUAAAAUAGAGAGAGUAAAGGAGAGAGCGAGAGAGAGGGGGAGAGAUGAAGAGUAAAAUAGAGAGAGUAAAGGAGAGAGAGAGAGGGAAAGAAGAGAGUAAAAUAGAGAGAGUAAAGGAGAGAGAGAGAGAGGGAGAGAUGAAGAGUGCAUCAGAGGGUGUGACGUACUAUCACCCAUCAUUAGCUCUGUUUACACACGUACCACAGGAGGAAAGGUCACCAUCCCCACAGUGUCUUUUCGCCUCGGUGACAAUAUGUUAUCUUUCCUCUCAGCGGCUCUGACUAACCCCAGAUCAGUGUCUGCAUCUCUAACGGCACCCUGUUCCCUGUGGGCCCUCGUUGCACCCUGUUCCCCGUGGGCCCUCGUUGCACCCUGUUCCCCGUGGGCCCUCGUUGCACCCUGUUCCCCGUGGGCCCUCGUUGCACUGCGUAAGGAAUAGUGUGCCAUUUGGGACGGGAUCAGUUUCUAGGGGCUGCCAACCGGUAAUCCUGUUGGAUUGUCGGAUAUAAGGGCAGAGGGCCUGGAGGACACAGAAGAGAGUCAUGUGGGUUCAAGACCAAGGGAGGAGGAGUGGAGGGGUGGAAGACAAGUGGAAUAGCAGGAAGAUUGGAGGUGUGGUGGAAGGGUGGAAUAGCAGCAGGAGGAACAGUGGAAGGGAGGUGGAAUAGCAGCAGGAGGAACAGUGGAAUGGAGGUGGAAUAGCAGCAGGAGGAACAACAGUAGAAGGGAGGUGGAAUAGCAG